GACAGAGGGUGCAAACGUUGUUCGGAAUUACUGGGCGUAAAGCGCGUGUAGGCGGCCAUCUAAGUCGGGCGUGAAAUCCCACGGCUCAACCGUGGAAGUGCACUCGAAACUGGAUGGCUAGAGUCCUGGAGAGGAAGGUGGAAUGCUUGGUGUAGAGGUGAAAUUCGUAGAUAUCAAGCGGAACACCGGUGGCGAAGGCGGCUCACUGGGUCUCAACUGACGCUGAGGUACGAAAGCCAGGGUAGCGAACGGG
Molecule: ribosomal RNA, 253 nt
Filed under: uncultured bacterium
Lineage: Bacteria
Description: partial 16S ribosomal RNA
Rfam family: Bacterial small subunit ribosomal RNA
Source: RNAcentral